UAGAUAUCGGCGCGGGCCGGGGGAGGAGCUGGGGCGCAGCCGGGCGCGCCUCCCCGAGCCCGCCCCGCGCUCCCCUCCCCUCCUUCCGCAGCCGCCGGGGCGGAGCGGGAGCCGGGCGCGUUGCGAGCGGGCCGGGGCCGGCGCCGGGUGUCCCCCUGCUCCGGAGCGAGGCCGCAGCACGCAGGAGGUCACGGGCAUGAGGGAGAAGCAGGCCCCUGUGACAUGGGCGCUGACAUGGGACACAGGGUGCAAUGAAACGCGAGGAAUGCAGGCAUGUCUGAGGUGGAGUUCAGCCAGCUCCAGGGACAGCACGGGGGGCUAGGAUGGAAAGCACGGAUCCCAGCUAAUAAUGAAGCUGCGGGGGAAUAAUAGCUGGCAAAAAGGUAACUUCCUGGGUUGAUAUUUGGCAAGGACACCAGUUCAGCAGUUCCUGCUUCUAGUGAACAGCACUGUGGGACCAGUAAAGGGACAAAUGGUCACUCCUCAGUUUUAUGUCUCCUCCGAAAGACAGAUUUAAUUUUAAUCCCAUUUGGAAUUUUACUUGUAAUGGAAACAGGAUGUUAUUACAGGAUAUUGAGCAGCACAUUGUACUUAAAUGUAACCAUCAGCAGCCUUGCUGUUCUUACAACUGGCAGGAGUUGCACUGGUCACUAAUCAAAUCCGAGUCCGUGCACUGCCAAACCCUCCUACGACUGAGACACCACUGCAAAAUCCAGCCCGUCCACAAAGGGCGGUCUGCAGCCUCUGCAAAUAUGAGUGAAACUCAUAGCAAUUCUCCGCAGAAGCGCCAGCUUUAACUUUCCUUGCCACUGAGGCCUGGAGUAGGUCUACGAGCCUGGGCUGCACAUUGAUGAUGAAGACCCAGCCCUUGCCAGGGAAGAGAGGUGACACAUGAGACCAAAUGCCGGCACUACUGGAGAUCUGGGCACAGGUGUUCUUGUGAGAGACCCACCCCAGCCUUUCCUGACCUGAGAGCUCUAGAAAAGCAGGUUGUGAACUUCUGGGACCUCUUUUUCCUACAUCCCUCAGUGCAGAGGCAUCCUCAGUUAGGUAGUUGCCUGUAAGGUGCCACACUCGCCCUGCCUUCUGCCACAUCCAUGAGCCAGUCUCCCAAGGGAAACCUGCUGGUCUGUCUCAUCAGAUGGCAAAGACAUGGCAUUGUUCAGAGUUAUUCUACUGUAACCACCCCUGUGACUGCUCAGAAAAUAAUCUGCUGAAGAAAGCAUCAGAAGGGGGAGAGAGCCAGUGCCGAGAAAAAGCUUAACUUGGCAGUUAAUAUUAAAUGUCUCUUUCAA
Long non-coding RNA from Alligator mississippiensis (American alligator), 1295 nucleotides. RefSeq lists it as uncharacterized. NCBI's taxonomy places the organism in Eukaryota, Metazoa, Chordata, Crocodylia, Alligatoridae. The record is from RefSeq and is a predicted model, not a curated record. The transcript has 2 exons.